This 253-nucleotide ribosomal RNA is filed under the name uncultured bacterium. RNAcentral describes it as "partial 16S ribosomal RNA". It matches the Rfam family "Bacterial small subunit ribosomal RNA", at positions 524 to 776 of the family's 1533-position model. The record is from RNAcentral.
GACGAGGGAUCCUAGCGUUGUUCGGAAUCAUUGGGCGUAAAGCGGAUGUAGGUGGCUUUGUAAGUCAGAUGUGAAAGCCCAGGGCUUAACCCUGGAAGGGCAUUUGAUACUGCUUAGCUUGAGUGCUAGAGAGGCUACUGGAAUACCUGGUGUAGUGGUGAAAUACGUAGAUAUCAGGUGGAACACCGGAGGCGAAGGCGGGUAGCUGGCUAGACACUGACACUCAGAUCCGAAAGCGUGGGGAUCAAACAGG